Molecule: transfer RNA, 73 nt
Filed under: Candidatus Magasanikbacteria bacterium RIFCSPHIGHO2_02_FULL_50_9b
Lineage: Bacteria; Candidatus Magasanikiibacteriota
Description: tRNA-Ala
Rfam family: tRNA
About the family: Transfer RNA (tRNA) molecules are approximately 80 nucleotides in length. Their secondary structure includes four short double-helical elements and three loops (D, anti-codon, and T loops).
Source: RNAcentral
GGGCCCUUAGCUUAGCUGGUAGAGCGCCGCAUUUGCAAUGCGGAGGUCAGCGGUUCGAAUCCGCUAGGGUCCA